Molecule: ribosomal RNA, 469 nt
Filed under: uncultured bacterium
Lineage: Bacteria
Description: partial 16S ribosomal RNA
Rfam family: Bacterial small subunit ribosomal RNA
Source: RNAcentral
GACGAACGCUGGCGGCGUGCUUAACGCAUGCAAGUCGAACGGAAAGGCCCUGCUUGCAGGGUGCUCGAGUGGCGAACGGGUGAGUAACACGUGGGUGAUCUGCCCCUUACUUUGGGAUAAGCCUGGGAAACUGGGUCUAAUACUGGAUAGGACCAUGCUGUAGGUGGUGUGGUGGAAAGAUUAGUUUCGGUAAGGGAUGAGCUCGCGGCCUAUCAGCUUGUUGGUGGGGUAAUGGCCUACCAAGGCGUCGACGGGUAGCCGGCCUGAGAGGGUGGACGGCCACAUUGGGACUGAGAUACGGCCCAGACUCCUACGGGAGGCAGCAGUGGGGAAUAUUGCACAAUGGGCGCAAGCCUGAUGCAGCGACGCCGCGGGGGGGAUGACGGCCCUCGGGUUGUAAACUCCUUUCAGCCAUGACGAAGCCCUUGUGGUGACGGUAGUGGUAGAAGAAGCACCGGCUAACUACGUG